RNAcentral lists this ribosomal RNA (446 nucleotides) under uncultured bacterium. Its description in RNAcentral is "partial 16S ribosomal RNA". It matches the Rfam family "Bacterial small subunit ribosomal RNA", at positions 338 to 795 of the family's 1533-position model. The record is from RNAcentral.
CCUACGGGUGGCAGCAGUCGAGAAUCAUUCACAAUGGGGGAAACCCUGAUGGUGCGACGCCGCGUGGGGGAAUGAAGGUCUUCGGAUUGUAAACCCCUGUCAUGUGGGAGCAAAUUAAAAAGACAGUACCACAAGAGGAAGAGACGGCUAACUCUGUGCCAGCAGCCGCGGUAAUACAGAGGGCUCAAGUGUUGUUCGGAAUCACUGGGGGUAAAGCGUGCGUAGGCUGUUUCGUAAGUCUGGUGUGAAGGGCGUGGGCUCAACCCGCGAACGGAACAUGAUACUGCGAGACUUGAGUAAUGGAGAGGCAACCGGAAUGCCCGGUGUAGCAGUGAAAUGCGUAGAUAUCGAGAGGAACACUCGUGGCGAAGGCGGGUUCCUGGACAUUAACUGACGCUGAGGCACGAAAGCCAGGGGAGCGAAAGGGAUUAGAUACCCUAGUAGUC